This is a long non-coding RNA of Trifolium pratense (red clover), 716 nucleotides long. RefSeq lists it as uncharacterized. The record is from RefSeq and is a predicted model, not a curated record. Lineage: Eukaryota; Viridiplantae; Streptophyta; Magnoliopsida; Fabales; Fabaceae. The transcript is spliced from 3 exons.
GGGUUAGUACUGUGUGAUUAUUGAUCAUAAAUUAGAACUAUAUUUAAGUCUUUAUUAUUUCUCUCCUCUCUUUAUCUAAAAUCUAUAAUGUCACCUGUUACUAUGCAAUAUUAAUAUGCAAGUUAAUUUCUUGCAGGGUCAGAAAUCUCUGGCUUUGGAUACAGCUAUUGGAAUGUGGCAAUUAUUAUUUGCUGAGAAGUAGUGGCCACUGGUUGAUCAUUGGUGCCAAUUCCUGCAGGCUCGGCAUAACGAAGCAAUAUCUAGGGAUACAUGGUCUCAACUUUUGGAGUUUGCAAAGGUUGUGUGUUGUGGUUUGUGAUGGGAAAAGCUGGAAAUUGCAUCAUCGCAAUUUGUUCAACGGCAGUUGCUGCUACCACUGCUUUUCUUUAUAAGGAAAUUAACAGGUGCGCAAUAUUCUUCUUACCUCUGUUGUGCUGCCACUGCUGCUGUUUUUCUGUCAUGACAGUUCGGUGAUUUUGUUUGCUAGCUUUUUCAAUUUAGGAGAUCAGGUCAUGUGUAUUUGGGGAUAUUUGGUGCCUCUACUAACAGUUUUAUGUUAGGUUGUGUGAUGGGGUUGUUUUUGUUGUGGUCUGAUUGUGACUUCCACUUGCAUUUCCUAGCUUUUGGCCUUUUGGCUUUAUUGUAAUAUUGUACUUUCCUUGCCUCUUUUCAGCAUGUCUUGUGCUUGUUUAAGAGUGUGUUUUAAUAUAUUUAGU